Molecule: ribosomal RNA, 458 nt
Filed under: Enterococcus casseliflavus
Lineage: Bacteria; Bacillati; Bacillota; Bacilli; Lactobacillales; Enterococcaceae
Description: bacterial SSU rRNA
Rfam family: Bacterial small subunit ribosomal RNA
Source: RNAcentral
GACGAACGCUGGCGGCGUGCCUAAUACAUGCAAGUCGAACGCUUUUUCUUUCACCGGAGCUUGCUCCACCGAAAGAAAAAGAGUGGCGAACGGGUGAGUAACACGUGGGUAACCUGCCCAUCAGAAGGGGAUAACACUUGGAAACAGGUGCUAAUACCGUAUAACACUAUUUUCCGCAUGGAAGAAAGUUGAAAGGCGCUUUUGCGUCACUGAUGGAUGGACCCGCGGUGCAUUAGCUAGUUGGUGAGGUAACGGCUCACCAAGGCAACGAUGCAUAGCCGACCUGAGAGGGUGAUCGGCCACACUGGGACUGAGACACGGCCCAGACUCCUACGGGAGGCAGCAGUAGGGAAUCUUCGGCAAUGGACGAAAGUCUGACCGAGCAACGCCGCGUGAGUGAAGAAGGUUUUCGGAUCGUAAAACUCUGUUGUUAGAGAAGAACAAGGAUGAGAGUAAAA